UACGUAGGGACCAAGCGUUGUCCGGAAUCAUUGGGCGUAAAGAGCGUGUAGGCGGCUUGUUAAGUCUUGCGUGAAAUCUCGGGGCUCAACCCCGAGCGGUCGUGAGAAACUGGCAGGCUAGAGUGCGGGAGAGGAGAGUGGAAUUCCUGGUGUAGCGGUGAAAUGCGCAGAUAUCAGGAAGAACACCCGUGGCGAAGGCGGCUCUCUGGAACGCAACUGACGCUGAGACGCGAAAGCGUGGGGAG
This 245-nucleotide ribosomal RNA is filed under the name uncultured Sporichthya sp. RNAcentral's name for it is "partial 16S ribosomal RNA". It matches the Rfam family "Bacterial small subunit ribosomal RNA", at positions 524 to 768 of the family's 1533-position model. Lineage: Bacteria; Bacillati; Actinomycetota; Actinomycetes; Sporichthyales; Sporichthyaceae. The record is from RNAcentral.